This 301-nucleotide ribosomal RNA is filed under the name uncultured bacterium. Its description in RNAcentral is "partial 16S ribosomal RNA". It matches the Rfam family "Bacterial small subunit ribosomal RNA", at positions 509 to 807 of the family's 1533-position model. The record is from RNAcentral.
CAGCAGCCACGGUAAUACAGAGGGUGCGAGCGUUAAUCGGAUUUACUGGGCGUAAAGCGUGCGUAGGCGGCUUCUUAAGUCGGAUGUGAAAUCCCUGAGCUUAACUUAGGAAUUGCAUUCGAUACUGGGAAGCUAGAGUAUGGGAGAGGAUGGUAGAAUUCCAGGUGUAGCGGUGAAAUGCGUAGAGAUCUGGAGGAAUACCGGUGGCGAAGGCGGCCCCCUGGACAAAGACUGACGCUCAGGUGCGAAAGCGUGGGGAGCAAACAGGAUUAGAUACCCGCGUAGUCCCUGUCUCUUAUAC